This 1173-nucleotide long non-coding RNA is filed under the name Anas platyrhynchos platyrhynchos (common mallard). Its description in RNAcentral is "lncRNA (ENSAPLG00000018366.1)". Lineage: Eukaryota; Metazoa; Chordata; Aves; Anseriformes; Anatidae. The record is from RNAcentral.
AUGCAGCCCAGCUGCAGUGACCCGUUUCCCCCAGCUGCUGUCCCCAAACACCCUUUGGUCCCCCAUUUCUCACAAUGUCCCAGAUGCUACCAGCAUCACUGCGGCCCUCCAUCAGCAAGCAGCACGGUGGCAAACAGCACAGCCCCCUUUCAUUUCAUGCCUUGUUACCCGAGGGAUCAUUUCCAACAACACCCAAUGCCUCAGAUCACAGAAAACAUCUAUUUUUAUUGUGGGUGUACAGCCACAUGCUUUAAGACUCAACUGCCCCCAGUGACAGAGCAUGGGAAAGGGAAAGGGAAAGGGAAAGGGAAAGGGAAAGGGAAAGGGAAGGGGAAGGGGAAGGGGAAGGGGAAGGGGAAGGGGAAGGGGAAGGGGAAGGGGAAGGGGAAGGGGAAGGGGAAGGGGAAGGGGAAGGGGAAGGGGAAGGAGAAGGGAAGGGGAAUGAGGAAAAAGGAAAAGGGAAAAAAAAAAGAAAAGAAAAAGAUAAAAAGAGAAAGAAAAAGGAAAAGGAAAAUAAGGAAAAGGAAAAGGAAAAGGAAAAGGAAAAGGAAAAGGAAAAGGAAAAGGAAAAGGAAAAGAAAAAAGGAAAAGGAAAAGGAAAAGGAAAAGGAAAAGAAAAAGAAAAAGAAAAAGAAAAAGAAAAAGAAAAAGAAAAAGAAAAAGAAAAAGAAAGAAAGAAAAAGAAAAAGAAAAAGAAAAAGAAAAAGAAAAAAAGAAAAAGAAAGAAAGAAAAAGAAAAAGAAAAAGAAAGAAAAAGAAAAAGAAAAAGAAAAAGAAAAAGAAAAAGAAAAAGAAAAAGAAAAAGANNNNNNNNNNAAAAGAAAAAGAAAAAGAAAAAGAAAAAGAAAAAGAAAAAGAAAGGAAGAAGAGGAUUAUGCAAGAAGUUUAUUUGGUGUCCCCCCCCCCACCAUUUCACAGGUUUGUUCAAGCAGCCCGGGGUUUGAGCGCCAGGAGCCGCUUGCUCUGUUCGGGGCUGGUGCCGAGCACAAUCCCUACAUUGCAGCGCCACCUGCAGCGGCCGCGCUUCGUGGCAGCCCUGCACAUCCCCGCAGCAGGGCGAAAUCUUCCCAAAAAAAAGCCCAGGGAGGGGGCUGCUGGCUGCAGAGCUUCCUCCUCCGGGUGUUUUUUCACCACUCUCCCUUUCCUGCGGUCUUUCAGGCGUUGGAGGUUUGA